AUCCAAAGGGCACUUUCUUAAUAUUUCUUUAUACCUCUUGCAGGCUUCAUAAAUGGAUUCUCCAUCUUUUUGUAUAAAGGUUUGAAUAUCAUAUCUCAGCUU
Arachis stenosperma is the source of this 102-nucleotide small nucleolar RNA. Lineage: Eukaryota; Viridiplantae; Streptophyta; Magnoliopsida; Fabales; Fabaceae. The record is from RefSeq and is a predicted model, not a curated record.